This 279-nucleotide unclassified non-coding RNA is filed under the name plant metagenome. Its description in RNAcentral is "partial contains small subunit ribosomal RNA, internal transcribed spacer 1, and 5.8S ribosomal RNA". The record is from RNAcentral.
UUUCCGUAGGUGAACCUGCGGAAGGAUCAUUAUCGUACAAAAUGUGAGGGGCAUGCUAGGGCUGUCGCUGACCCAGAAGUCGUGCACACCGAGUGUGUCCUCUUGCAUAAUAAUCCAUCUCACUCUUUGUGCAUCACCGCGUGGUCACCCUUCGGGAUCAUCUCGGAGGUUGUCUCGCUUUUUCACACCAACUCCCCUUUUAAAAUUGUAGAAUGACCACAUUUUUUCAAUCAAUACAACUUUCAACAACGCAUCUCUUGUCUCUCUCAUCGAUGAAGA